RNAcentral lists this long non-coding RNA (486 nucleotides) under Pan troglodytes (chimpanzee). Its description in RNAcentral is "lincRNA". Lineage: Eukaryota; Metazoa; Chordata; Mammalia; Primates; Hominidae. The record is from RNAcentral.
AGUUAACCAACAGGACACAGCCCUGGUGAUGGCUUUCUGAGGAUGACACGAUGGAGGCUUCUCCAAUAGCUCUAAAACUGCGGAGUGGAAAACAUUUGGCAGCCUCAAAGAGCGGUCUUGACCCCAACUAUAUCAUUUUUCAUCAAAAUCAUUCUUGUAAAGAAUGACCAGGCAACACUCUUUGAAAAUUGGAGACCAUUUGCAGCUGCUCUCUGUUGAGGAAAGUGAAUAAUAGGGUGCCCUCAAGGAAUUGCAAAGGUAUCACUCAACAGAAACUUUCGUGUCUGAAGAAAACUAGAUCAUUUUAUCAUGGUAGGCAUGCUGAUAUGUUUGCUUUAAUAAAAUGCCAUAUUUCUGCCUUUAAUCUCUUGUCAACCCGCUAUUAAAAAGCCCCAAAGUGCAUGCGUGCAGCACAUGUAAACACUUGUGGUUUUGAGGUUACCACAGAACAUACUAAUAAAGCAUGUAAUUUGUGUUUUGUGCACA